UGCUUGCACCUUUCAAGCGAGUGGCGAACGGGUGAGUAACACGUGGAUAACCUGCCUCAAGGCUGGGGAUAACAUUUGGAAACAGAUGCUAAUACCGAAUAAAACUUAGUAUCGCAUGAUACAAAGUUGAAAGGCGCUACGGCGUCACCUAGAGAUGGGUCCGCGGUGCAUUAGUUAGUUGGUGGGGUAAAGGCCUACCAAGACAAUGAUGCAUAGCCGAGUUGAGAGACUGAUCGGCCACAUUGGGACUGAGACACGGCCCAAACUCCUACGGGAGGCUGCAGUAGGGAAUCUUCCACAAUGGGCGAAAGCCUGAUGGAGCAACGCCGCGUGUGUGAUGAAGGCUUUAGGGUCGUAAAGCACUGUUGUAUGGGAAGAAAUGCUAGAAUAGGGAAUGAUUCUAGUUCGACGGUACCAUACCAGAAAGGGACGGCUAAAUACGUGCCAGCAGCCGCGGUAAUACGUAUGUCCCGAGCGUUAUCCGGAUUUAUUGGGCGUAAAGCGAGCGCAGACGGUUGAUUAAGUCUGAUGUGAAAGCCCGGAGCUCAACUCCGGAAUGGCAUUGGAAACUGGUUAACUUGAGUGUUGUAGAGGUAAGUGGAACUCCAUGGGUAGCG
This 617-nucleotide ribosomal RNA is filed under the name Leuconostoc lactis. Its description in RNAcentral is "bacterial SSU rRNA". It matches the Rfam family "Bacterial small subunit ribosomal RNA", at positions 77 to 680 of the family's 1533-position model. The record is from RNAcentral. Lineage: Bacteria; Bacillati; Bacillota; Bacilli; Lactobacillales; Lactobacillaceae.